This 5440-nucleotide long non-coding RNA is filed under the name Brassica rapa (field mustard). RNAcentral describes it as "long non-coding RNA (BRAP_LNC008355)". Lineage: Eukaryota; Viridiplantae; Streptophyta; Magnoliopsida; Brassicales; Brassicaceae. The record is from RNAcentral.
GUAAAAGUGAAUAGUGAAUCACUAGUCACUAUUCAGGUUGAGUAUUCACUAUUUGGGUCACUAUUCAGGAUGUGAAGAGUGAAUAGUGUAUGGAUAAGGCACCAAGGUUUGAAUCAAGUCAAAGGGAAUCAAGAAGAUGCUGUGUGGAGCUGAUUGGUUACUUUGGGGCAUGGACAGGCUGGCUGUUGCUGUAAAGGAAGAGCAGCCACGACCAUGCACCUAGACUGACCUGUGGACAGAUACAAAGGAGCCUAAGGAGAGCCAAUUACAGCACAGCUUCAGUUUGAAUUAAAGCAAAGGCGCCAGCUGCUUACUCCAAUCAGAAUCAAGAGGAACAAGACCAUCUCAUCCUAUCCAUCCAUUUAAACUUCAAGUAUUAUCAGCCAUUAGAUGUAGGUUUAUGAUUUGCUCUUGUAAAGGCAUAUAUAAACUCAUAAGUGGCGUUUUGUAAAGCUUAAGUGAGUAAGGGGGUUUCCCUUCUCCUUCUCUAAUCUGAAACACUAAUCUUCAGUCUCUGAUUCUCUCAGUCUCUCUCUAGUCUCUUAAGUCUCUUAAUCUCUGUUCUUAAGUCUCUCACAUACUCAUAAACACUCUCACCAAUCCUUUUCUCUAUAUCACCUAGAACAAGCUCUAAGCAUUCUUCAUUGAAGCUUAUACACACACACAUACUACCAGAGUAGAGAUCUCUUUAAAAAUCAUAUGGUAUCAGAGCCAGGUUCAUCAGAGCCUGGUUGAAGCUUCCACAAGUCCACAGCUCACUCCUCAGCUCAAAUCCAAACCUUGAAGCCAUUUCUAUGCGAUUUCAGUUUCUACAAGAAGAUGAAGGCUGAAGCCAUGGUGUGUGUGUUCUUGGUUCCUCAUCCUGUUCUCUAUCCGUCCAGAUGGUGAUUCUCCUUGGAAGCAAAGGUGUAUGGAGAGGCCUAGCAGACCAGACUCCAAGGCGCCUUGUCCAAGAGAAGCUCUCAUCCUGUUACAAACAAGAUGGUGUCAUAAACUUGGGGCAAAGAAGUUAUGAAGAAAGGAGGGGUCUUUUGAGUUGAUGGUACAAGAUGGUGGCCAUGAACUGAAGGAGAAGGAGAUGGAGGACAAUCCAGACUCUUAGAUCCAACAAAAGUCAAGGCUGGGUUCAUAAAAUGCAAAAGGAAUCAACCUGGUUCCUUGCUGUAAGCGAUUCUAUAAACCAUCUUGAUAAUGAGCUUGUGUUGUUGACUGGUUAUAAUGUGUGAUGUGAUUGAAAACCUGAGGAUUGUUAAAGAUUGAUAAAUUAAAAUGUUUAGAAUCUGUCCCAGGAUACUUUAAGAGCUUUGUUUGGUGACUGAAUGUGAUUAAUAUGCUUAGCUUCGUUUCAUAGUGAUGCUUAGUGUGAUUAACUGAAUCUGCUUGCAUACAUGGAUUGAAACUGAAUUUAAAGCUGUUGCAUAUAGUCUUGUGGCUGUCUUACAUUGAAGCAUUAGAUUCAUGUCUAAAGUGCUGAGUAAAGAAGCUUUUAAAAGUGCCUAAGUAACUUGUCUUGAAUCUGUUAGGAUCUUUCUUGUACUUAGAGAGCUAGCUUGCAAACAAUAGAACUUGAUAAUGCCUUGUGUCUAUCUGUUGCAUUGCUUGUAAUAUUGGGAAUCAAACUUGAUAAUUUAUUAAUCAAGUUUUGACAUCAAUACUAUUGAAAAUGGUUAAAUGCUUAAUGUCAGCUCUAAAUUAACUUGUCUUGUUAAGAUGAUAGAUUAUAGUAUCUAAUCAUACUUGCUUUCAUGAGUUAGAAACUGAUUAGGAUUAAUGCAUACUGCCUUGUUGCUGCCUUGUAUUGUUGCAUAUUAAGGAGUGAUUAAAAUUGCCUUAAUAAUUUGACUUGAAUCUGAUAAGGUCUUGCUUAGUAUUUAGAGAAUGGUUGCUUGCAUAGAUAAGAACUUGACAUUGUCUUGAUUCUAUCUAAUGUUAUAAAGCUUGAGACAUUGGUGAUCAAACUUGAUGAGGUCAAGGAUUGAUCCCAAUGCAAUUGUAUCUUAUCUUGGCUAGAGUUUGAGUGAUGUUUCAGGUUCACAAAAGGUGUUCCUAGUUCAUCAUCAAAUCCGAGUUUAAAGAGAAAGAAUGGUGUCCAUUGUGUGUGCAAUGGAGAGUUACUACAAGAAGGGUGAAGCGCAGAUGGUUGUAAAACCCACUUGAAGCUCACUGGUCUUCCUACUACCAUUGCAAGUAACUGAAGAAGAAGCCAACCGGGUCUAGGCAGUGGCGUGCCUAUUCAAGAGGGUGCUCAAACUAAGACAGAGCACUCUUGGCUGUGUGAAGAAGAAGGCUACUCUAUCAAGGCGGCCUCUAUUGUGAGGUGAUUGAAGAAGUAGCUGAAGCAUCCACAAGCAUUCCAUCAUGGUGGUGAAUUCAGGAGGGUGAUUGCAAUAAGAGAAGAAGAAGAAGUAAGGAUUCAAGUGGUAACUUUGAGAACCAUUUCUCAUCAUCUUAACCAAGGGAGUAAACCUAAUCUCAUCUAUCUUAAUAUGUCUUGAUAGGUUUAUCUUCUGAUUAUACUAUGUGCUUUCCCUAAUUCCAUUAAGAGUUUAUAGCCUCUAGUAGAAUGUCUAGGCUAAUUGCACUGAAAUUGUAUUGCUGCUGCAUUGUCAUAUUGAUAGUAAGUAAUGUCUAGAGUCCCAGAAUCUCAUGUUCUGUUUAUUGCAUUGUCUUGAGGAUUGUCAUAGCUUGAAUCAUCAUGAAUGUGUUGUAGAAUUGAGUAGAAUGUCUCUGCUGCUUGCAUCAUGAUUGAUAAGUUAUUUUGCAUACAUAAGCAUAUCUCAUACUGUCUAAGUUCAAUCCUAUUGUUAUCUGAUGCUAUUGUCUAUGUUUAAUCCAUCAAUGAAAGUCUUGCAUCAAUUAGAAAUUGUCUAAGUUGUUUGCAUCAUUGGUUUUGAUUGAAACUGUUGUGCAUAGCCUUAAUAUUGCUCAUGGAUUGAACCUGUUGCAUUCAUAUAGCUAAAGCUUUAAGAUUGUGCAUUCAUAUAGUAAUGCAUUUAAAAAUGAGCCUAAAUUGCAAAUGUACUGAUAGGCUUGCAUUGCAUUUAGAGAACUUAAAAAAAAAAAAAAAAUAGAACUUGCAUUGCCAUUAUUAGAGAUUGAAAUCUACUUGUCUUGACUCAGUCCAGUUCUGAUUGUUGCUAUGCCAUAGUUAAAUCCAUCAGUGAUGUCUUAUAAGCACUUAGAAGUAUGUCUAAGCUAUUUGAAUCAUUCGCUUUGAUAAAACUAGUGAGCAUAAGCAUGAAUUGAGUCACUCUUGUCGCCUUGAUUGCAUAAGUAUCAUCUAGACUUGUGUUCCAUUUAGAUUGAAUCUGCUUCAUUCAUAUAGUUAGUGUGUAACCUAAUGCAGUCAUCUAUUGUUGCAUUUAAAAAAAAAACAAAACUGAAUUGAUAGUCUUUGCUUGAUUGUCUUGAUUGUCUAGCUUGUUUCAAGUAUUAUAUAUUAUUGUGGCAUUGGUGAUCAAACAGGAUGGAUAAUCUUGGUUUGAUCCCAAUGGGAUGAUCUGAUCUUGCAUUGAGUUGUGGUGGUGUUAGGUGCACAAGGAAUGGGAUACAUGUAACUCACCAACAACCAAGAAUGUAAAGACAAAGGUCUUGUGCCAUUGCAUAUCAUCACUAGGACAUGUUAGUCCAUAAUCUACAGGAAGUGUAGUGUGAUUGAGUAUGCAAUGAGAGAUAGCCAUUGCAUAAUACCAUUGGACAUAUCUAGUCCUUAGUCUACAGGAAGUGUAGCAUGGGUCAUUAUGCAAUGAGAGGUGUGUCUUGUGAGACUCUCUAUGGUGAUUCAAACACCCUAGUUCCUGGUUAAGGAAGAGAGUAAACUCACAAGAAGAAAGCUAUCAUGAAGAUGAUUGUUAUUAGACCAUGGAGAUGCAUAAGAUCAUCACAAGCUUAGCUCCUUCUAGUCUCGGUUCUAAGCUUGAGGGGGAGUCUUAAUGCAUAUGAUCCAUGGCAAGAGGCUGUUCAGAGCAGCCUUGGCGAGUGAGGAGGAAGGCUCUCCAUCAAUGCGGCUUCAAUGAGAGGUGAUUGAGGAGAAGCUGAUCAAUCCAUUCUGCCUUUCCAAGAAGUUGAUGAUGCCAUGAAGAUGGUGCAUUGAGAGAGUUUGGAAACUCACAAAAACACAAGGGAAGUUCCCUUAGACUUUUAAAACUCUUUUCAAUCUUUUUCAUUCAUCUUAUUCAUUGCUUGUGCUUGAAAAGAUACUUAAGAUGAUUAUGAUUGAAUUGUGAGAUUGUGUGCAUCAAGUAUGAUGCAGGAUAUUCAUUUUCUUGUUUUUGAUAGGUACUGAUGCACCUUUGGGAUAAUGUAUCAGGUACCAUUGCUUGAGCCUCACUAAAGAUGUUCCUGGUCAGUUCCUAGCUUCUCUAAGAUGGCUGAGAAGUCUGUUGAGAGGGGGAGAUCCAAACCAGUUCUAUGAAGAGGGCAAGCCGUGUGUGAAGUGUUGAUCAGCCUCACUAGUGUUUUGAAGAUGAUCUGGUCGUGUCCUAGCUUCUCUAAGAUGGCUGUGAAGUCAGCUGAGAGGGGGAGACUUCAAACCGGUUCCAUGAAGAGGUGAAGCUGAAGUGUGAAAUGUGAAGUGUGCGCAAAGCUGUGAAGAGUUGCUGCACCUGUUAGGCCGUGAUCCAGAGCUUCUUGUGUCCAACCACAUUGGUUCUAAGGCACAAGAGCUCACUGGCCAAUCCCUAGGCUUUGGAGAGCUCUACUCUUUUUCCCUUGCAAGGUUUUGUCCCAAUGGGUUUUCCUUGUAAGGUUUUUAAUGAGGGAGACUCUUCAGAGUUCCAAGCUUGGCUUAGGAUCUCCUAAAGUCAAGCUUGAGGGGGAGUGUUGAACUGAAGAGAAGAUAGAGCUUGUACAACAAUAGGGAAAGCUCUAGAAGAUGUCAAGAAGAGUUCAAUCAAGCUUCAGAAGAGUUCUGAAGUAGUUAUCUUGGGGAGUUAAGUCUAGGAAAGACUUAGACUGAUCAUGUGAAGGCUUUGGGAGAGUCUUAAGGCUUCAGAAGUGGUCUGAUGAGUGUGCAAAGAUAGGAAUGACUUAGACACCAUUUAGAGAAGAUUUGGGUCAGACAGUAACUCCAAAGUUACCACAGUAACUUUGGAGAGUUACCACAAUAAGGUUGGAGAAGUUUGGGCAAGUUGGUGUAAAAGUGAAUAGUGAAUCACUAGUCACUAUUCAGGUUGAGUAUUCACUAUUUGGGUCACUAUUCAGGAUGUGAAGAGUGAAUAGUGUAUGGAUAAGGCACCAAGGUUUGAAUCUAGUCAAAGGGAAUCAAGAAGAUGCUGUGUGGAGCUGAUUGGUUACUUUGGGGCAUGGACAGGCUGGCUGUUGCUGUAAAGGAAGAGCAGCCACGACCAUGCACCUAGACUGACCUGUGGACAGAUACAAAGGAGCCUAAGGAGAGCCAAUUACAGCACAGCUUCAGUUUGAAUUAAAGCAAAGGCGCCAG